GGUGAUGUGUUAUCACUUCCUAUGCACAGUCUCCUCUUCCUAUGCAGUGUCCUCUUCUGAAGCUGAAUGAUUUAGGCCAAUAAUACUUACGCAAUUAUGGGUGUGCAGGUUGAAGUUAAUUAGGGUUCUGAAAUUCUUUGUGGAAAUCAUGGGCAAGCGGAAUUCAGAAAGCCUGGAGAUGGAGCAAGAAGAUCAAUUUCGUUCUCAGUGAUUGUCAUCAACUCAAACAUAGAGGUGGGGAGGAUUGCACUGCCUCCAUGAGGGGCACGAUGCCUCACUCAUUUUUAUUCGCCUAAAGUACGUGGACAGGUCGCUGAAGGAGGAGAAAAGCUAGAGUGCCGUGCACAAGCGAGCAGUUUGGCACCGAUGGUCCGGCGGUCUGCCUGGGUUGUUCCACAUUCAAGUUGUGGUUUUGGCACGUCCCCGAUGACACUCCCCUGCACUACGUGCUGACUGGCUGCACCCUGCGCCUCGGCGACGAUCAGAUGAUGCUGAGUCCAAGUCCAACAUAGGCAAGACGUUCUGUUGGCAGCAGUGCAGCAAUAUCCUUCCAGUAUGAGACACUGAAGAGGAUGAACAAACCGAGGAGAUCUCUAAGCUGCCAGUCCUGCCACCUAUAUCAUGCUGCUACUUAUUUUUCUUCUCAUGAUGUUUUAUUUGUAUUCCUGCCAACUCUCUUUGGUCAGCCUAUAACUUCAUUGAGGCCAAACAAUGCAAAAACGACAUUAGCAUAGAGAAGUUGCGUUUCUUCAGGACACCAAAUGGGGGCGUCACUUUGAUAGGAACCUGGAGCCUGUUGUUGAUCAAUAUUUUCAUCGUCGAUCUCAGUGGCUGUAAAGCAAUAGAAAGAGAUGGAAGGAGAAUUAUAAAUGAAGUCAGAAUUUCCAUUUCUUUUUCUCUCCUUCUAUGGGAUAUAGUAGAUGAUAUUUUCCAUUUUUGUUCAGGUUUCGGAGAUAUGUAUUCAGAAAAAAUGUGUACAGUCUCAUAUA
Long non-coding RNA from Triticum dicoccoides, 989 nucleotides. RefSeq lists it as uncharacterized. NCBI's taxonomy places the organism in Eukaryota, Viridiplantae, Streptophyta, Magnoliopsida, Poales, Poaceae. The record is from RefSeq and is a predicted model, not a curated record. The transcript is spliced from 3 exons.